CCCGGGCAGUAUAAAGUUUGCUGUCUCCUUUGUUCGCCCUCGUUGCGCAGUAGUGCUAGCGGCUUCGCGGUUCGGUUCUCGGACCCGGCAGCCGCCACUGGUGCUGAGCCGCUAGGAAGCCCCUAUCGGCGAGCUCGUUGGAGCUUGAACCCAUUGUCACCCCUCCGACUCACCGGCCAAAAAAAAAAAAAAAAUGGUUGAAGCAGAUCGCCCAGGAAAGCUCUUCAUUGGUGGGCUUAAUACGGAAACAAAUGAGAAAGCUCUUGAAGCAGUAUUUGGCAAAUAUGGACGAAUAGUGGAAGUACUCUUGAUGAAAGACCGUGAAACCAACAAAUCAAGAGGAUUUGCUUUUGUCACCUUUGAAAGCCCAGCAGACGCUAAGGAUGCAGCCAGAGACAUGAAUGGAAAGUCAUUAGAUGGAAAAGCCAUCAAGGUGGAACAAGCCACCAAACCAUCAUUUGAAAGUGGUAGACGUGGACCGCCUCCACCUCCAAGAAGUAGAGGCCCUCCAAGAGGUCUUAGAGGUGGAAGAGGAGGAAGUGGAGGAACCAGGGGACCUCCCUCACGGGGAGGACACAUGGAUGACGGUGGAUAUUCCAUGAAUUUUAACAUGAGUUCUUCCAGGGGACCACUCCCAGUAAAAAGAGGACCACCACCAAGAAGUGGGGGUCCUCCUCCUAAGAGAUCUGCACCUUCAGGACCAGUUCGCAGUAGCAGUGGAAUGGGAGGAAGAGCUCCUGUAUCACGUGGAAGAGAUAGUUACGGAGGUCCACCUCGAAGGGAACCGCUGCCCUCUCGUAGAGAUGUUUAUUUGUCCCCAAGAGAUGAUGGGUAUUCUACUAAAGACAGCUAUUCAAGCAGAGAUUACCCAAGUUCUCGUGAUACUAGAGAUUAUGCACCACCACCACGAGAUUAUACUUACCGUGAUUAUGGUCAUUCCAGUUCACGUGAUGACUACCCAUCAAGAGGAUAUAGCGAUAGAGAUGGAUAUGGUCGUGAUCGUGACUAUUCAGAUCAUCCAAGUGGAGGUUCCUACAGAGAUUCAUAUGAGAGUUAUGGUAACUCACGUAGUGCUCCACCUACACGAGGGCCCCCGCCAUCUUAUGGUGGAAGCAGUCGCUAUGAUGAUUACAGCAGCUCACGUGACGGAUAUGGUGGAAGUCGAGACAGUUACUCAAGCAGCCGAAGUGAUCUCUACUCAAGUGGUCGUGAUCGGGUUGGCAGACAAGAAAGAGGGCUUCCCCCUUCUAUGGAAAGGGGGUACCCUCCUCCACGUGAUUCCUACAGCAGUUCAAGCCGCGGAGCACCAAGAGGUGGUGGCCGUGGAGGAAGCCGAUCUGAUAGAGGGGGAGGCAGAAGCAGAUACUAGAAACAAACAAAACUUUGGACCAAAAUCCCAGUUCAAAGAAACAAAAAGUGGAAACUAUUCUAUCAUAACUACCCAAGGACUACUAAAAGGAAAAAUUGUGUUACUUUUUUUAAAUUCCCUGUUAAGUUCCCCUCCAUAAUUUUUAUGUUCUUGUGAGGAAAAAAGUAAAACAUGUUUAAUUUUAUUUGACUUUUGCAUUGCUUUUCAACAAGCAAAUGUUAAAUGUGUUAAGACUUGUACUAGUGUUGUAACUUUCCAAGUAAAAGUAUCCCUAAAGGCCACUUCCUAUCUGAUUUUUCCCAGCAAAUGAGGCAGGCAAUUCUAAGAUCUUCCACAAAACAUCUAGCCAUCUAAAAUGGAGAGAUGAAUCAUUCUACCUAUACAAACAAGCUAGCUAUUAGAGGGUGGUUGGGGUAUGCUACUCAUAAGAUUUCAGGGUGUCUUCCAACUGAAAUCUCAAUGUUCUCAGUAUGAAAAACCUGAAAUCACAUGCCUAUGUAAGGAAAGUGCUAUUCACCCAGUAAACCCAAAAAAGCAAAUGGAUAAUGCUGGCCAUUUUGCCUUUCUGACAUUUCCUUGGGAAUCUGCAAGAACCUCCCCUUUCCCUUCCCCCAAUAAGACCAUUUAAGUGUGUGUUAAACAACUACAGAAUACUAAAUAAAAAGUUUGGCCAAAACCAACCAUGAAGCUGCAAAGGUGCUUGCUCUUACUGUUUCAAAUUUUUGCAACUCUGUAGUGUCUCACUUUUAAAGGAACAGCUUGAUUGCAAAGGAGAAAAUAGAUAAGCAAUGAAGUUAUCUCCAACUUCCUAAAGGCUUAUGACUUCUAAAAAGUGAAUCUAUCAGCAUUCCACAUCAGAUUUAAAGCAUCAAAUGCCUGUGAAACAGCAAAGAUGGUAAGCAAAGCAAACUAGUUUUUCCGUCUAAGUCGAAAUUGAACACUUACCUUCCUCAUAGUACAGUGAAACAUACUGUACCUCAAGGCAAUGGAAAUGCCUUCUAGAUUAAAAAAAAAACUUUUGGAAAAAAGAAAUGUUCAAUAGCAUAUUAGAAGUCCUCCAAAUUCAACACUUGGAUUUUUUUUUUUUUUUUUUAAGCAUGUGUGACACUUAAAGGCUUUAUUAAUAGAGCUGUUGUUUACCAAUGGCGAUCUGGGGCUUGGGAGGGGGUAUUUUUUUUCAAAGUCCAUUUUUGAUGAAGACCUUUAAACAUGCUUCAUAUGUUUUAACAUUUUUUUCAAAUUAGUCUUUUAGUCAAUAUAGGAAAUGGCUUAAGUUUGGGGUCCCCCUUUUUACCCCUGUAAGCCAUUGCAAACUUGACAUUUAGUUGGAUGCCUGACUUGUUUUUAGUUCUAUGAAACUACACUGUAUGGAGAAAAUCUAUUGCAAGUGGUCUUUAAAAAGCAAAACCUGAGGCAGCAUGACCCAGGUCCAGCCAUGAAGUUGAAAAAGAUGCUCUUGAAUAUAGUAAACUUGAAGACCUCCAACUAAAAAUCCUUAUACUGCACUUAUUCCUUCAAAUAAGUUUUGUUCGUUCAACUUAUGGAUUUAACGUGGCAGUGCACCAUUGGAACAGAAUGACAAUCCAUAAGCCAUGCAACUUAACCAUUUAAGCCAUUCCAGUCCAUCCCGAGCCAGUGAAUCUUCCACCACUUAAGAGAAAUAGUAGAACAUGAAAUAUAUUAAGCUGCAAGUCUGAACUUGCCUUUUCUUUCUGGAAAAGAGGGCAGUAAUAGGCAAGUUUUAAAAGAAUUUCCUUAAGAGAGAUAACUAGUUUUCAUUUAUUUAACUUUUGCAGGUUGAUGAUUUUGCUCAUUAUGGUCGUGGAGUGCUGAUUGAUUCACAGUAGAUAAAGCUGGCAGUAAGAAAUGCUAAGAGUUGUUGAAGCAGAAGGCGGCUGAUUGUCAAUAAGUCACUACAGUUGCAUAAGCAGUGCUGUCAGAAUUGGUUUGGUGCAGGCAAUAGAUUUUGCCUUCAGGGGUUCCUGUGGAUCUGAGGAAGGCAUCAGUGUUGAUUAACACUCAUAACUAGGGAGUGACUGGUAGUUACUUAAAGCAAGUAAUUGACCAAAUGGAAAAGGGGAAGUAAUUAAGGAAAUUGGUAAGUGGAGGUAGUCAGGAAGUUCUUGUGGUUCUUUACAUAGAUUUUACAGCUUUGGCUUUCAUUUUGUUUAGCUAAAGUCAUGGGGACAACUCUUCAAUUUAGAACUUAAGUUGAAUUAUAAAAAUGAUGGAUAUAAGUGGUAGCUCUAUCUAGUGAAGUGUCUGUCAGUAAGUGAAACAUUUUUUGGUGGUGGCUUAUCCACAAACAGUUUAGUUGCAGAAUAAAACUUAUGAGUGACAUCUGGAAAGUAACCAUGCUAAGAUGGCAAGCACACUGGAAACAAUUAGGCCACUUGGCUUUCUUUUGCUGUAUUGUUUUAUAAGCCUACUUUACCUCCCAGUCUUGGAAACAAGUUUUAGUUUUUUAUUGGUUUGGAGACUAGAGCCAAUAGUAUAAUGUUCUCAAAGGAAACAGACUUGAGUUGUUGGAUUAGAGGAACUAACCCAACUUCUAUGAUUUUUUUUUGUUUGUUUGUUUUUGUUUUUGUCGUGUAGUUAUGGCACUGUCUUAUUUGGAACAUUUGCAACUAGGGAUAAUACAACAUUUUUAACUCUCAUUUGACAACCUACUACUAAUCACAGACCACAAGGGUAAUGACCAAAUUUAUGUGGUUUUUGCACUCCAUAGUUGUCUUAGCCCAAUCCUUCUAUACUCUUACGAUUACUUGGGUUAACGCUUCUGUGAGGACCUUCUGGCUCUUGAGAUACCCUAAAUAUUUAAGAUAUUUAGAUAUCUUGAAGAUAGUAUAGGAUAUAGAGAUUGUACCAAAUAGGAAUAUAAGGAGUAUGUUAAAAUGACCAGAUACCUGUUUGAUAGUUUACUGACCUAGCAGAUGUGUGGAAAAGGAAUCAGAUCUUGAUUCUUCUGGGUUUAUACUGGUUGUAAAACAGAAUUAUACAGAAAAUGUUUUCCUUGUUUAACUGGUAGUUGAACAUAGAACUUGGGUAUUAUAGAUCACUUUUCACUUUUUGGAAUGUUUUGUAUUGAAACUUAAUAAAACUUUAACAUGGCA
Gorilla gorilla gorilla (western lowland gorilla) is the source of this 4482-nucleotide RNA transcript. It is a transcript of the gene named RNA binding motif protein X-linked, with no coding region annotated. The transcript is spliced from 10 exons. The record is from RefSeq and is a predicted model, not a curated record. Lineage: Eukaryota; Metazoa; Chordata; Mammalia; Primates; Hominidae.